Pan troglodytes (chimpanzee) is the source of this 2517-nucleotide long non-coding RNA. RefSeq lists it as uncharacterized. The transcript is spliced from 2 exons. Lineage: Eukaryota; Metazoa; Chordata; Mammalia; Primates; Hominidae. The record is from RefSeq and is a predicted model, not a curated record.
AACAUAAUCUCAAAGAACUCCCAACAUUAAGGAAUAUACAAAGGAGACUAAGGAACAGAUAAGGGGAAAAAAAUCAGGAGUCAUUCACAGAAGCCACAUGCUAAAGAUGGAGAGGGAAGGAAAAUGCCUAUCAAAUGGAGCAAAAAGAUCAAUAUAAGGGUAGAACACCAGAGAAUUUUUACCUGGAGAAGUAAAUGGGAGACAAUUAAGUGGAAGAAAUAUGGGGAGGGACAGAUACAAGGAAGUAUGUGUGAAGUGGAAAUCAGGAGGUGAGAUGGAGGACAAGGAAGAAGCAGAGUUAAAAGCAGUAAGUAAUAGAACCUCCCUAGACCCCUUGAAGCACUGCCCACAAACACAGAGCUUUCAAAUAGUGUUUUGGAGUCUACUCAUAUAUUGCCAAGACUAGCCAGAAAUAACAGGAAAUUCGCCUAUAUGAACAAGAGAAAAAACAAAUUACAAAUAGCAACAAAUAAACUUUGGUGUUAAUAGAGCAAUAAAAGUAGUAAUACAUAUAUAUAUAUAUAUAUCCUCAGAAAAAUAAGAUAUCUAUGAACUAAGUAGGAUAUUUUGGAAACAAAAUAAAAUGAAAGAAGUUCCAGAAAUUAAAAUAUUUUUAGAAAUGUGCUACAAAUUCAAUACAAGGAAGAUAAUGUUGCAAGAUCAAAUUAAGUAAUUUUCCUAGAAAGAACAGAGAUAAUAGCAUCGAAACAACUGGAGAAAAAGAGAAGAAAAUUAAGCACCAAUCUGGGAGAAGUCCAACAUCUGACUAAGAUAUGUUCAAAUUUCUCAAAAGUAACGAUGGAAGCUAGACAAGAGUGGAGCAAUGCCUUUAAGACGCUGAGAGCAGCUUAUUUUUAAUUUAAAAUUGUAUGUCUAGUCAAACUAUCAAUGAAAUGUGAGGGUGGAAAAAGGCUGUUUCAGACAUUUAAGAACUCAAAACAUUUAACUUUCAUAUACUAUUUCUUAGCAAGCUAUAAGUGUUUUAGGAAGUGCUCUAGUAAACAAAGUAAACUAGGAAAUGGGAAGUCCAACACAGGAUGACAAAGGGAGGUCAUGGGAUCAUCACCAUAUAGUAGGCCAAGAGAGCAACCAUACAGACUGGCACAGAAGGACAACUGCAGCAGAGACAUCUCUAGUUAAAAACAGGGACAUUAUCUGAUAUUUGGGUACAAAAACCUUUCAAACUAGUGAUGGGAACAUGACAGACCUGACAGAGAAAUUGGAAAAUUUUUAAGGUAAAUUUGUAGAAAGUUAUGUAAAUGUUUUAAAUGAGGCAAUUAUUAAUUCCAGGAAAAAUAAAAUUAUGCAAAAGAAAAUCAUAUUACAUUUGCCCUAGGGUAUAAAAUAUUUAUACAGUCAUACUUAAAUAACAGCUAAUGCAUUUACUAAAUAUUAUAACUACAUAAUAGAAGGCAAAGUAUGUGUGUUAGAGAGCUAAAUCAUGUAACAUCAUGUAACAUCAUGUAACAAUAAUGUCUAAAAUUGUUAUAUCAAGCAACAGAAUAGCCAUACUAUUUAGAUACACUAAGGUAAAAGAAGAAACAACUUUUGGAGUCACAGUGAUUGCCUCUGGGAGGGAAGGAAAGUUCAGGCAGGGACUACUAUUUUUUAUCAUAAAGCCUUUAGAACUUACUAUUUUAUUUUUUAAAACUGUGUACACGUUACUUUGAUAAAUUUUAUAGAUAUAUAAAAGGAAAUAAGGCCACCACGGUCUGAUUUGUUUUUAGACAAGAUAUUUAUUUUGAAGUUCCAAAUGACAUUAGCAGAAUUGUGAUUUUUAUGCUUACUGAAUGGUGCAUGGGAUAAAAAGGGGUUCUAAAACACUGUACUAGAUCAUCCAAACCCUACAAUAGACACUUAUGCAUCAAAAUUCUUGUAAAAGGACCACUUCCCUACUCCCUCCACCCUCCCCUCAAAAUACCCAUGUUCGCAAAGAACAAAACUUUACAGCUUAACCAACAAAAAACGUGACAUACAAUAAUUCUAAGGCAAUGGUUCUAUGAAGACAGGAGAGGUAGCAGGCUGAACCACAUUCACUGACCCUAUCUCUCAGCUGCUCCUCCUCACUAGUCAGGUUUUUCCUGUGUACCCCACUUCAUUAUUUUCAUCAUGCUUACCUCUCUGUUUACUGGACAUUCCCCUUGAUCUAAUACCAAACUUAGCCAGUCUAACUGUAACUCAGAUGAUAAUCUGACCACUUCCUGGUAAGAACAAAUGGUUAAUGUUGUCACAGUGAUUAAUAAAUACAAAUACGAAUUAAUUUAACAAUGAAUUACAUUUUAUCCCAUCCAGGCAUGAAGAAGUUAAAACCUGGACUCACUGACCCUGUGUUAAAAUUUAGUGCUAAAUGUAAGCAACAACACUGGAGCAUUGUUAUUUUAUCAAGACACCUAAACAUAGCAAAAUUAAUUUUGUUCAUUUUUAUUAACAUAGGACAUACUAACCGAAUAUUAUCAUUUAAUAAAAUCAACGUUACAAAGAAACUCACUAGCCAAUAAACAAAUGAUAUUCACUUGA